Molecule: non-coding RNA, 195 nt
Filed under: Acanthisitta chloris (rifleman)
Lineage: Eukaryota; Metazoa; Chordata; Aves; Passeriformes; Acanthisittidae
Description: Eukaryotic large subunit ribosomal RNA
Rfam family: Eukaryotic large subunit ribosomal RNA
Source: Rfam by way of RNAcentral
AGGGAAGGGUCAGGCUCUCCACCAAGGAGAGCUGCUUGUGGUGGCCAGGCAUUCAUAGCUACAUCACUUUUUGAUCCUUUGAUGUCUGCACUUCCUAUCAUUGUGAAGCAGAAUUCACCAAGUGUUGGAUUGUUCACCCACUAAUAGGGAGCAUGAGCCUUAGACUGUAGUGAGACAAAUUAGUUUCACCUUUCU